GACGGAGGGGGCUAGCGUUGUUCGGAAUCACUGGGCGUAAAGCGCGCGUAGGCGGCGGCUCGAGUUGGGCGUGAAAUCCCGGGGCUCAACCCCGGAAUUGCGCCCAAGACUGGGUUGCUUGAGACCGAGAGAGGGUGGUGGAAUUCCCAGUGUAGAGGUGAAAUUCGUAGAUAUUGGGAAGAACACCAGUGGCGAAGGCGGCCACCUGGCUCGGAUCUGACGCUGAGGCGCGAAAGCGUGGGGAGCAAACAGG
RNAcentral lists this unclassified non-coding RNA (253 nucleotides) under Rhodospirillales bacterium. Its description in RNAcentral is "partial 16S ribosomal RNA". It matches the Rfam family "Bacterial small subunit ribosomal RNA", at positions 524 to 776 of the family's 1533-position model. Lineage: Bacteria; Pseudomonadati; Pseudomonadota; Alphaproteobacteria; Rhodospirillales. The record is from RNAcentral. RNAcentral also lists the same sequence under 1 other name.